RNAcentral lists this long non-coding RNA (1294 nucleotides) under Vulpes vulpes (red fox). Its description in RNAcentral is "lncRNA (ENSVVUG00000010305.1)". Lineage: Eukaryota; Metazoa; Chordata; Mammalia; Carnivora; Canidae. The record is from RNAcentral.
AUGAUCUGGUGUGAGAUUUUUCAUGUCAUUACUGAAGGCCUACUGGAGGACGUCAGAUGCAUAACAUUCUUCCUACCCCCAGUCAUGCCCAGAAUAAGCCUUGCACAUGAUACAUUAUGUGAUGGGUAUGGGAAGGGUAAGAAUGAGUUAAAGGUCCAGUUUGUUCCAGAUCCCAGUAAGUGGCAGCACAUGAGGAUAGAGGCAUCGCCGUGGAGGCAGAGCUCUGAGGAAUCAUGUUGCCUUUAGUUUUGAUGUCAAAGAUGACCCUGUAUCAGGAUGGGCCACAAAAUCCUGCAUAGAUCAUUUCCCACAUUUAAAAAAAGCCAGCCCUUACUUGAUCCUCCCGUCUUAUCUGUAGUUCCUAGCUAGGACCUCUGAUUUUCAUUUUUUUUUCCUGUUUUCCUUUUUGAAUUUGAAUUUAAAAAAAUAUUGUAGGGUACGUUAGAGCACAGUUCUGGUGUCUGACUGCCUGAGAUCAUACAUUUAUUGGCUAUGGGAGUGUGAUAAAGAUAAUUAACCUUAUCAUGGCUCAGGUUUUUCAGGUGUAAAUUGGGGGCAGUGACAGUAUCUACUUCAGGUACUUGUUGUGAUGAUUAAGUGAGUUAAUACAUGAACAGCUCCAGCAACAAUGCUGAGCACAUGGUUAGCGUUCAACAGGUCUUAGCUAUUGUUGCGAAUAUUGUUCUCUUGUUUGUUUUUACAUUCCAUGCAAGCCAUGAUGAUAAAAUUACUGAAAGCUACCCAAAUACUCCCAUAUUAAAAAUGUUUGCAGUUAAAUUGAUAAAGUAUGCAUACAUAAAAUAUUUAAAGAAGGGUUAAAAGGCCAUGUUUGAGAAAAAACAUUUAGACUAAUUACCCACACAAGUAGUGAGGAUGAUGAAUUUGGGGAAAGACAUUUAAUAGGGAGCCUAUCGCUUAAAAAGGGGAGGACCUUGAAGAAAUAGUAUUUAGUUUGGGAUUUUGUGGGAGGACGACUGGCCAGUGUGGACAACCGCAUUCGGUGGCCCAGCACCCAUCCCCGCAUGCCCUUUUCUGCUACUCUCACUCUCACUUGACUCUUCUGAAACAUUCUUUCAGUCUACUUUUGUUGGGUGUGUGGGUCAAAAGUUCAGGAACCUGUCGCUCUGACAUAGUACCAGGUUGCUCAUGUCGAGUUGCAGUUUUCAUCGUGAUUUCAGAAGUCGAGUUUUCCACAGCACUCUAUCAGCUUCUCUUCAAGGCAUAUGAAAGCUGAUUUCAAAGAAAACAUUGGCCCUACUUGGUGAAAAAUAAAGCACUUCUUGAGCUUUGAACA